Molecule: ribosomal RNA, 460 nt
Filed under: uncultured bacterium
Lineage: Bacteria
Description: partial 16S ribosomal RNA
Rfam family: Bacterial small subunit ribosomal RNA
Source: RNAcentral
CCUACGGGUGGCAGCAGUGAGGAAUAUUGGUCAAUGGGCGCGCGCCUGAACCAGCCAAGUCGCGUGAGGGAAGACGGCCCUACGGGUUGUAAACCUCUUUUGCCGGGGAGCAACGGGCGUCACGUGUGGCGGCACUGAGAGUACCCGGAGAAAAAGCAUCGGCUAACUCCGUGCCAGCAGCCGCGGUAAUACGUAGGAUGCGAGCGUUAUCCGGAUUUAUUGGGUUUAAAGGGUGCGUAGGCGGAACGUUAAGUCAGUGGUAAAAUUGAGGGGCUCAACCCCUUCCCGCCAUUGAAACUGGCGCUCUUGAGUGGAAGAGAAGUAUGCGGAAGGCGGGGUGUAGCGGUGAAAUGCAUAGAGAUCACGCAGAACUCCGAUUGCGAAGGCAGCAUGCCGGCUUCCGACUGACGCUGAAGCACGAAAGCGUGGGGAUCGAACAGGAUUAGAUACCCCUGUAGUC